GCAUAUCAAUAAGCGGAGGAAAAGAAACCAACAGGGAUUGCCUCAGUAACGGCGAGUGAAGCGGCAAAAGCUCAAAUUUGAAAUCUGGCUCUUUCAGGGUCCGAGUUGUAAUUUGUAGAAGAUGCUUUGGGUGUGGCUCUGGUUUAAGUUCUUUGGAAUAUUACAUCAUAGAGGGUGAGAAUCCCGUAUGUGACCAGUCGCCGCGCCCGUGUAAAGCUCUUUCAACGAGUCGAGUUGUUUGGGAAUGCAGCUCAAAAUGGGAGGUAUAUUUCUUCUAAAGCUAAAUAUUGGCCAGAGACCGAUAGCGCACAAGUAGAGUGAUCGAAAGAUGAAAAGCACUUUGGAAAGAGAGUUAAACAGUACGUGAAAUUGUUGAAAGGGAAGCGCUUGCAACCAGACUUGCACGCAGUUGAUCAUCCGGUGUUCUCACCGGGGCACUCUGCUGCGUUCAGGCCAGCAUCGGUUUUGGUGGUUGGAUAAAGACCUUGGGAAUGUAGCUUCUUUCGGGGAGUGUUAUAGCCCUUGGUGCAAUGCAGCCUACCGGGACCGAGGACCGCGCUUCGGCUAGGAUGCUGGCGUAAUGGUUGUAAGCGGCCCGUCUUGAAACACGGACCAAGGAGUCUAACAUCUAUGCGAGUGUUUGGGUGUCAAACCCAUACGCGUAAUGAAAGUGAACGGAGGUGAGAACCCUUAAGGGUGCAUCAUCGACCGGUCCUGAUGUCUUCGGAUGGAUCUGAGUAAGAGCAUAGCUGUUGGGACCCGAAAGAUGGUGAACUUAUGCGUGAAUAGGGUGAAGCCAGAGGAAACUUCUGGUGGAGGCUCGCAGCGGUUCUGACGUGCAAAUCGAUCGUCAAAUUUGCGCAUAGGGGCGAAAGACUUAUCGACCAUCUAGUAGCUGU
This 899-nucleotide ribosomal RNA is filed under the name Tricellula sp. DV-2018a. Its description in RNAcentral is "LSU rRNA". It matches the Rfam family "Eukaryotic large subunit ribosomal RNA", at positions 38 to 954 of the family's 3401-position model. The record is from RNAcentral. Lineage: Eukaryota; Fungi; Ascomycota; Leotiomycetes; Helotiales; Calloriaceae.